UGUGUUAGCGGCGGACGGGUGAGUAACACGUGGGUAACCUGCCCAUAAGACUGGGAUAACUCCGGGAAACCGGGGCUAAUACCGGAUAACAUUUUGAACCGCAUGGUUCGAAAUUGAAAGGCGGCUUCGGCUGUCACUUAUGGAUGGACCCGCGUCGCAUUAGCUAGUUGGUGAGGUAACGGCUCACCAAGGCAACGAUGCGUAGCCGACCUGAGAGGGUGAUCGGCCACACUGGGACUGAGACACGGCCCAGACUCCUACGGGAGGCAGCAGUAGGGAAUCUUCCGCAAUGGACGAAAGUCUGACGGAGCAACGCCGCGUGAGUGAUGAAGGCUUUCGGGUCGUAAAACUCUGUUGUUAGGGAAGAACAAGUGCUAGUUGAAUAAGCUGGCACCUUGACGGUACCUAACCAGAAAGCCACGGCUAACUACGUGCCAGCAGCCGCGGUAAUACGUAAGUGGCAAGCGUUAUCCGGAAUUAUUGGGCGUAAAGCGCGCGCAGGUGGUUUCUUAAGUCUGAUGUGAAAGCNCACGGCUCAACCGUGGAGGGUCAUUGGAAACUGGGAGACUUGAGUGCAGAAGAGGAAAGUGGAAUUCCAUGUGUAGCGGUGAAAUGCGUAGAGAUAUGGAGGAACACCAGUGGCGAAGGCGACUUUCUGGUCUGUAACUGACACUGAGGCGC
RNAcentral lists this ribosomal RNA (681 nucleotides) under Bacillus thuringiensis. Its description in RNAcentral is "bacterial SSU rRNA". It matches the Rfam family "Bacterial small subunit ribosomal RNA", at positions 88 to 754 of the family's 1533-position model. Lineage: Bacteria; Bacillati; Bacillota; Bacilli; Caryophanales; Bacillaceae. The record is from RNAcentral.